GAAAACCAACAAAAAUAUUGUUUUGGAAUUUUUGGAGUCGAUUUACUUAACGUAUAACAUACCUACCCCUUUUCAGCUUUCUGGAGCGUUCCGGAAGGUCUCUUUUAUGUGUUUUUCUCGAGUCAUAACUUGAAUAAUAUUAGUUUCAACGUUGAUGGGUGUACCUGAGAUACGAUGUUUAAUUCUUUGCCCAUUUACCAUUGUCAG
This 207-nucleotide long non-coding RNA is filed under the name Hordeum vulgare. RNAcentral describes it as "long non-coding RNA (HVUL_LNC008837)". Lineage: Eukaryota; Viridiplantae; Streptophyta; Magnoliopsida; Poales; Poaceae. The record is from RNAcentral.